RNAcentral lists this ribosomal RNA (243 nucleotides) under uncultured bacterium. RNAcentral's name for it is "partial 16S ribosomal RNA". It matches the Rfam family "Bacterial small subunit ribosomal RNA", at positions 62 to 334 of the family's 1533-position model. The record is from RNAcentral.
UCGAACGGAUCCUUCGGGAUUAGUGGCGGACGGGUGAGUAACACGUGGGAACGUGCCCUUUGGUUCGGAACAACUCAGGGAAACUUGAGCUAAUACCGGAUGUGCCCUUCGGGGGAAAGAUUAUCGCCAUUGGAGCGGCCCGCGUCUGAUUAGCUAGUUGGUGGGGUAAAGGCCCACCAAGGCGACGACCAGUAGCUGGUCUGAGAGGAUGAUCAGCCACAUUGGGACUGAGACACGGCCCAA